RNAcentral lists this non-coding RNA (59 nucleotides) under uncultured eukaryote. The record is from RNAcentral.
UUGGCUAGUUGAUCGGCAAGUAUCUGAAGGACAGUCGUUGCCUCCCUUUAUCAGAGAGC